GCAGGGUUACUCAAGCGGUCAACGAGGGCAGACUGUAAAUCUGCUGGCUUCGCCUUCGAAGGUUCGAAUCCUUCACCCUGCACCA
This 85-nucleotide transfer RNA is filed under the name Candidatus Saccharimonadota bacterium. Its description in RNAcentral is "tRNA-Tyr". It matches the Rfam family "tRNA". Rfam says of the family: Transfer RNA (tRNA) molecules are approximately 80 nucleotides in length. Their secondary structure includes four short double-helical elements and three loops (D, anti-codon, and T loops). Lineage: Bacteria; Candidatus Saccharimonadota. RNAcentral also lists the same sequence under 2 other names. The record is from RNAcentral.